Molecule: long non-coding RNA, 326 nt
Filed under: Neogobius melanostomus (round goby)
Lineage: Eukaryota; Metazoa; Chordata; Actinopteri; Gobiiformes; Gobiidae
Description: lncRNA (ENSNMLG00000003010.1)
Source: RNAcentral
CGGGAAAGGAAACAGGACAAAAGAGAGUCGACGCAGUCAAAGAGGGGAAGCAGAAAGAGAAGAAAGCCACCGUGCGAGACAGAGCUUUGAAAAAAGAAGGACCUGCUGCACCUUCAACUCUCACAAAAGAACGACCAGCUGAAAAGUCAUCACUGGAAUCGACAUCUGACUCUGACUCUUCAUUGACUUCCUCGGAAGAAGACGACAAGCCACACAAGACUAAGAAGGGAAAAGGGAAAAAGCAGAAGAAGCUAAAGAAGAAAAAUAAUUGAUUACUGCUCAAAACCCAAAGCAAAUGGUAGCCCGCUAAAGCAAAAUCCUGAGAU